CAAAAUCGAAAGCCCAACUGAGAGUACUCGGUCUGCGGUCUCACUUUCUCCUCCGCCGUUGAUCUCCGACUCUAUCCUCAGAAGCAAGCCACCAACGAAAAGGCGGAGAGAGACGGAGUGGAAUACCCCUACUCACUCCAAAGCUUAAACCCACCCGCCAUGGACUCCCUUCAAGCCACCUACAGAGAGGAAGAUGACGAAGUGGACGAGUCCGUACAUCCCACCACCAACGAACCGCCACCUGGUGAUAAUACUGCCGCUGAACCCCUAAACGACGUGAAACCGGAGCCCAUGAGCUCCGACUCCGACGACCCACCUUCCUCUGACACCAAAAAAUCCCCCAGAUCCACCCACAACGGUGCCACCAACACCAACGAGAACGACAACGAUACCACCACUACUAACACCAUAAACAACAACAACGACGAGGACGAGGAUGACGAAGAAGAUGACGAGGAAGACCCUCCUCCCAAGAAGCAGAAACUUCUCUCAUCUCUCACUACCCCGCCUCUAAUCCCCGGUAAAGCUGCCCCAAUGGAGGACGUCCCGAACCCUUCUACGACGACGACACCACCAACAACUGGGACGACCGUGAAGAAAUAUAAGAAGAAGAACAAUAACGUGUGGGUUACAAAGUCAACUCGCAAAAGCAAGAAGAAGAAUAAGUCGAAUAACCACCACAACACCCCGGCCGAGGAAAUCGUCCUCAUUACCCCGAUCCAGAAGUUCCCGGACAAGUCAGACGACACCCAGGACAUGAAAAUCUGCCUCUCGAAGAUUUACAAGGCCGAGAAAGUCGAACUGAGCGACGACAGAUUGAGCGCCGGGAGCACCAAAGGGUACAGGAUGGUUAGAGCGACUAGAGGGGUCGUGGAGGGCGCGUGGUACUUCGAGAUUAAAGUUGUGAGAUUGGGAGCGUCGGGCCACACGCGCCUCGGGUGGUCCACUGAGAAAGGGGACCUCCAGGCGCCUGUUGGGUAUGACGGGAACAGUUUCGGGUACAGAGACAUUGAUGGGAGCAAGGUGCACAAGACGUUGAGGGAGAAGUAUGGGGAAGAGGGGUAUAAGGAAGGUGAUGUUAUUGGGUUCUACAUUAGUUUGCCGGAGGGAGGUUUGUGCCCGCCGAAGCCUCCGCAUUUGGUUUUGUAUAAGGGGCAGAGGUAUUCAUGCGCGCCGGAUGCCAAGGAGGAGGCCCCAAAAGUGGUGCCUGGUAAGCGGUUCUUCGCCCUGUAACGUGUACUAUAUAAAUUUCUGGAAAAACUAUACUUGUAAGCCGGUGCGGAGGCCACGCUCUCCACAGCCGACAUGAUAAUAUUUGAUUCGCAAGAAAGCCCUGUUUCUAGCUAUUGUUGGAAGUGAGAUAUCUUUCUUCAAGAAUGGGAUCUGUCAAGGAGUUGCUUUCAAGGAUCUAUGUGAUGGUCGCUACUACCCUACUGCUUCAAUGUACACUCUUCCAAAUCAGCCAAAUUGUGUAGUCAACUUCAACUUUGGCCCUGAUUUUGAAUUCUUUCCGGCGGACUUUAAUGAACGUCCUGUGCCUAGGCCCAUGGUUGAAGUUCCUUAUCAUGGGUUUGAGAACCGAGUUGAAAAUGGAGUGUCAACUGAGAAGAAACAUUAGCCAGCAAGCGGCACGUUUCAACCUUAACACUUGCAGAGCUGGGAGUUGGAUCUGAGUUUAACAUUCUGUUGUAAAUUAUUUUCCGUUAAAUUACGACUGAAAAAAUUAUUCAAUGACAUUGUAAACUCGACCUUUCAAUGGAAGAGAGAAAACCUGCAUGUGAAAUAUAGUAAUGAUAUUGCUUGAGCCCAAUGACA
This is an RNA transcript of Juglans regia (Persian walnut), 1815 nucleotides long. It is a transcript of the gene named protein TRAUCO-like, with no coding region annotated. The record is from RefSeq and is a predicted model, not a curated record. The transcript is spliced from 2 exons. NCBI's taxonomy places the organism in Eukaryota, Viridiplantae, Streptophyta, Magnoliopsida, Fagales, Juglandaceae.